This 497-nucleotide ribosomal RNA is filed under the name uncultured bacterium. Its description in RNAcentral is "partial 16S ribosomal RNA". It matches the Rfam family "Bacterial small subunit ribosomal RNA", at positions 28 to 507 of the family's 1533-position model. The record is from RNAcentral.
GAUGAACGCUGGCGGCGUGCCUAAUACAUGCAAGUCGAGCGAACGGACGAGAAGCUUGCUUCUCUUAUGUUAGCGGCGGACGGGUGAGUAACACGUGGAUAACCUACCUAUAAGACUGGGAUAACUUCGGGAAACCGGAGCUAAUACCGGAUAAUAUUUUGAACCGCAUGGUUCAAAAGUGAAAGACGGUCUUGCUGUCACUUAUAGAUGGAUCCGCGCUGCAUUAGCUAGUUGGUAAGGUAACGGCUUACCAAGGCAACGAUGCAUAGCCGACCUGAGAGGGUGAUCGGACACACUGGAACUGAGACACGGUCCAGACUCCUACGGGAGGAAGCAGUAGGGAAUCUUCCGCAAUGGGCGAAAGCCUGACGGAGAAACGCCGCGUGAGUGAUGAAGGUCUUCGGAUCGUAAAACUCUGUUAUUAGGGAAGAACAUAUGUGUAAGUAACUGUGCACAUCUUGACGGUACCUAAUCAGAAAGCCACGGCUAACUACGUG